Molecule: ribosomal RNA, 361 nt
Filed under: uncultured bacterium
Lineage: Bacteria
Description: bacterial SSU rRNA
Rfam family: Bacterial small subunit ribosomal RNA
Source: RNAcentral
AACGAACGCUGGCGGCGUGGAUAAGACAUGCAAGUCGAACGGGACUAAAUCUGUAGCAGUACAGGUUUAGUUUAGUGGCGAACGGGUGCGUAACACGUGGGCAAUCUGCCGAGAAGUGGGGGAUAGCUCGCCGAAAGGCGAAUUAAUACCGCAUAUGAUCAGCUAAGACAUCUUAGCGAAAUCAAAGCCGGGGCAACCUGGCGCUUCUUGAUGAGCCCGCGGCCAUCAGCUAGUUGGUGAGGUAACGGCUCACCAAGGCUAUGACGGGUAGCUGGUCUGAGAGGACGACCAGUCACACUGGAACUGAGACACGGUCCAGACACCGUACGGGUGGCAGCAGUCGAAGUAAUUUUUCUCAAGU